ACAGUGCAAUCCGAUGCCAUGCCCCUGAGGAUCACUUAAAACUACUGGCUUGAAUCCUACCAUGCACAUUUUUUCUCCAGGAAGGAAAAAUAUAAUACCCUCAGUGAUUUACAAAGAGCUGUUGAAAAGCCUUUGCCAACCUCAGGAAAAGCUGGUUUUACUGGGUUUGGAUGGGAAGGGAAAACAACACCUGCUACAAGAUACAAGGAUGCGUUUCCAGUGAACAGGCUGUGAUUCAUUUGUUACUCGUUUUUACACAUACAUGUUGUUCACACCAACGUCAAUGUCCACUGAGGCAAAAAGGAAGAGUCUUUUCUGUUUGCAUGAUAAUCAAGAUCUCAAGAAAAACUUCCCCUAAAAAGGGCCCAGAAGAGAUCCCAUGAACUGAUUUCUUCCACCUAUGCUCAGAUAAAAGGAUUUAUUUCUUUGGACAACAAAUAAAAAUACUUUAAUGUUAAA
Vidua macroura (Pin-tailed whydah) is the source of this 459-nucleotide long non-coding RNA. RefSeq lists it as uncharacterized. The record is from RefSeq and is a predicted model, not a curated record. NCBI's taxonomy places the organism in Eukaryota, Metazoa, Chordata, Aves, Passeriformes, Viduidae. The transcript has 3 exons.